Small nucleolar RNA from Arvicola amphibius (Eurasian water vole), 73 nucleotides. RefSeq annotates it as small nucleolar RNA SNORD101. The transcript has a single exon. The record is from RefSeq and is a predicted model, not a curated record. Lineage: Eukaryota; Metazoa; Chordata; Mammalia; Rodentia; Cricetidae.
GUUUGAAUGAUGACUUGGAUUGUCGGAUCCCCCUUCACCCGCAUCAUGGGUGAGACAGAACAGCCUGACAAAC